Molecule: ribosomal RNA, 321 nt
Filed under: uncultured eukaryote
Lineage: Eukaryota
Description: partial 18S ribosomal RNA
Rfam family: Eukaryotic small subunit ribosomal RNA
Source: RNAcentral
CCCUUAGAUGUUCUGGGCUGCACGCGCGCUACACUGAUGCGUUCAACGAGUGUAUAACCUUGGCCGAUAGGUCUGGGUAAUCUUUGAACGCUGUUCGUGAUUGGGAUAGACCUUUGCAAUUAUGGGUCUUCAACGAGGAAUUCCUAGUAAACGCAAGUCAUCAGCUUGCAUUGAUUACGUCCCUGCCCUUUGUACACACCGCCCGUCGCACCUACCGAUUGAAUGGUCCGGUGAAAUCUCGGGACGGCGGCUUGGUCGCUUGCGUCCGACUGCUGAAACUUGAUUAAACCAUAUCAUUUAGAGGAAGGUGAAGUCGUAACA